GACGAACGCUGGCGGCGUGCUUAACACAUGCAAGUCGAACGAUGAACCCGGAGCUUGCUCUGGGGGAUUAGUGGCGAACGGGUGAGUAACACGUGAGUAACCUGCCCUGGACUCUGGGAUAAGCGUUGGAAACGACGUCUAAUACCGGAUAGGGCCUUGGAUCGCAUGAUCUGGGGUGGAAAGUUUUUUCGGUCUGGGAUGGACUCGCGGCCUAUCAGCUUGUUGGUGAGGUAAUGGCUCACCAAGGCGUCGACGGGUAGCCGGCCUGAGAGGGUGACCGGCCACACUGGGACUGAGACACGGCCCAGACUCCUACGGGAGGCAGCAGUGGGGAAUAUUGCACAAUGGGCGAAAGCCUGAUGCAGCAACGCCGCGUGCGGGAUGACGGCCGUCGGGUUGUAAACCGCUUUUAGUAGGGAAGAAGGGCUUCGGCUUGACGGUACCUGCAGAAAAAGGACCGGCUAACUACGUG
RNAcentral lists this ribosomal RNA (472 nucleotides) under uncultured bacterium. RNAcentral's name for it is "partial 16S ribosomal RNA". It matches the Rfam family "Bacterial small subunit ribosomal RNA", at positions 28 to 507 of the family's 1533-position model. The record is from RNAcentral.